RNAcentral lists this unclassified non-coding RNA (212 nucleotides) under Ophiostoma setosum. Its description in RNAcentral is "internal trancribed spacer 2". Lineage: Eukaryota; Fungi; Ascomycota; Sordariomycetes; Ophiostomatales; Ophiostomataceae. The record is from RNAcentral.
CCCCCCUCAGCACGCCCUUUGGGUGCGCUGGCGUUGGGGCUCCUCCGCCCUCUGUGGCGGCAGGGCCCUCAAAUCCAGUGGCGGGCCCGUCUGGUUGGCUCCGAGCGCAGUACCGAACGCAAGUUCUCUCUCUCGCUCUGCAGCCCCGGCCGGCGCCCAGCCGUCAAGCCGCGCAGGCGACCCUCUCAGGGCCGCCUCGCACUUUUACAAGG